Molecule: ribosomal RNA, 468 nt
Filed under: uncultured bacterium
Lineage: Bacteria
Description: partial 16S ribosomal RNA
Rfam family: Bacterial small subunit ribosomal RNA
Source: RNAcentral
GACGAACGCUGGCGGCGUGCUUAACACAUGCAAGUCGAACGGAAAGGCCCUGCUUUUGUGGGGUGCUCGAGUGGCGAACGGGUGAGUAACACGUGAGUAACCUGCCCUGGACUGUGGGAUAACUUCAGGAAACUGGGGCUAAUACCGGAUAGGAGCUCCUGCUGCAUGGUGGGGGUUGGAAAGUUUCGGCGGUGGGGGAUGGACGCGCGGCUUAUCAGCUGGUUGGGGGGGUAGUGGCUUACCAAGGCUUUGACGGGUAGCCGGCCCGGGAGGGUGGACACCGACCUGGGGCCUGCGAUAGGCCCCAGUGUCGAAUGUUGGACAGAAGUCGGAAACCUUGCCCAACCGGCCCGCGCGUGUUGAAGCAGUCCUCCGUUCGUGAUGCCCGUUUUCGGGUUGUAAACCGCUUUCGCCUGUGACGAUGCGUGAGUGACGUUACCGGCUGAAGAAGCACCGGCUAACUACGUG